CUGUUACUGUUCUUCUGAUGG
RNAcentral lists this microRNA (21 nucleotides) under Columba livia (rock pigeon). Its description in RNAcentral is "cli-miR-2131-3p". Lineage: Eukaryota; Metazoa; Chordata; Aves; Columbiformes; Columbidae. The record is from miRBase by way of RNAcentral. RNAcentral also lists the same sequence under 1 other name.